Molecule: ribosomal RNA, 460 nt
Filed under: uncultured bacterium
Lineage: Bacteria
Description: partial 16S ribosomal RNA
Rfam family: Bacterial small subunit ribosomal RNA
Source: RNAcentral
CCUACGGGUGGCAGCAGUGAGGAAUAUUGGUCAAUGGGCUUACGCCUGAACCAGCCAAGUCGCGUGAGUGAAGACUGCCCUAUGGGUUUUAAACCUCUUUUGUCAGGGAGCAACGCCGGUUACGUGUAGCCGGACUGAGAGUACCUGAAGAAAAAGCAUCGGCCAAUACAGUGCCAGCAGCCGCGGUAAUACCGGGGAUGCGAGCGUUAUCCGGAUGUAUUGGGGUUAAGGGAUGCGUGGGGGGAAUGCCAAGUCAGCGGUAAAAUCCCGGGGCUCAACCUCGCUCCGCAGUUGAAACUGGCGUUCUUGAGUGCGCGAGAGGUAUGCGGAAUGCGUGGUGUAGCGGUGAAAUGCAUAGAUAUUACGAAGAACUCCGAUUGCGAAGGCAGCAUACCGGAGCCCAACUGACGCUGAGGCUCGAAAGCGUGGGUAUCGAACAGGAUUAGAUACCCCAGUAGUC